GAUGAACGCUGGCGGCAUGUUUAACACAUGCAAGUCGGACGGGAAGUGGUGUUUCCAGUGGCGGCCGGGUGAGUAACGCGUAAGAACCUGCCCUUGGGAGGGGAACAACAGCUGGAAACGGCUGCUAAUACCCCAUAGGCUGAGGAGCAAAAGGAGGAAUCCGCCCAAGGAGGGGCUCGCGUCUGAUUAGUUAGUUGGUGAGGCAAUGGCUUACCAAGGCGACGAUCAGUAGCUGGUCCGAGAGGAUGAUCAGCCACACUGGGACUGAGACACGGCCCAGACUCCUACGGGAGGCAGCAGUGGGGAAUUUUCCGCAAUGGGCGAAAGCCUGACGGAGCAAUGCCGCGUGAAGGCAGAAGGCCCACGGGUCAUGAACUUCUUUUCUCGGAGAAGAAAAAAUGACGGUAUCUGAGGAAUAAGCAUCGGCUAACUCUGUG
RNAcentral lists this ribosomal RNA (437 nucleotides) under uncultured bacterium. RNAcentral describes it as "partial 16S ribosomal RNA". It matches the Rfam family "Bacterial small subunit ribosomal RNA", at positions 28 to 507 of the family's 1533-position model. The record is from RNAcentral.